This 401-nucleotide ribosomal RNA is filed under the name uncultured Prevotella sp. RNAcentral's name for it is "bacterial SSU rRNA". It matches the Rfam family "Bacterial small subunit ribosomal RNA", at positions 355 to 753 of the family's 1533-position model. The record is from RNAcentral. Lineage: Bacteria; Pseudomonadati; Bacteroidota; Bacteroidia; Bacteroidales; Prevotellaceae.
UGAGGAAUAUUGGUCAAUGGACGAGAGUCUGAACCAGCCAAGUAGCGUGCAGGAUGACGGCCCUCCGGGUUGUAAACUGCUUUUAGUUGGGAAUAAAAAAGGUGACGUGUCAUCUAUUGUAUGUACCAUCAGAAAAAGGACCGGCUAAUUCCGUGCCAGCAGCCGCGGUAAUACGGAAGGUCCGGGCGUUAUCCGGAUUUAUUGGGUUUAAAGGGAGCGUAGGCCGUCUGUUAAGCGUGUUGUGAAAUGUCGGGGCUCAACCUGGGCAUUGCAGCGCGAACUGGCAGACUUGAGUGCGCAGGAAGUAGGCGGAAUUCGUCGUGUAGCGGUGAAAUGCUUAGAUAUGACGAAGAACUCCGAUUGCGAAGGCAGCCUGCUGUAGCGUAACUGACGCUGAAGCU